GCAGGGGUGUAGAGGUGAAGAAGAGCUCUGGGGAUAGGUCAAGUCAGCUGGGCUGUGCUACCACGGGCAGCAGCAGUCUGCAGGAGAGCCCUGAACAUCAGUCUACUGGAUGCUGUAGCCCAAGUGACAACAACGUAACUGCGGAGCAAAUGCUGGAGCAGUAGAAAUGCUAGAGCUUCUAAAAUCCGCUCAGUGAGCUGAUUAGUUACAAAUAUGAAGGAAGCAUCAGCUCAUUCAGUACAAGCAAUGGAGCCUAGGAAUUAACAGUGAAGACUGGACAUAGCUGGAGCAAAUGACUUAACCUCUCUCUGCCCGUUUCCCUCAUCUGAGAAAUGCACUCACUGGCUCUCUCUCAGAUUAGGAGCUGCAUGUGGUGAGGAGUUGACACCUCCUGUCAACAACCACCUGAAUAAGCUUGGAAGCAGAAUGCCCAGCCCUGCUCCAGCCUUCAGAUGACUGCAACCUGAGACAGACAGCCGUGGAGAUCCAACUAACACACACCUCAAGUCCUGGCCCACAGAAACUAUGAGUCAGUAAAUGUCUGUUUUUUAAACCACU
This 558-nucleotide long non-coding RNA is filed under the name Homo sapiens (human). Its description in RNAcentral is "HSALNT0161217". Lineage: Eukaryota; Metazoa; Chordata; Mammalia; Primates; Hominidae. The record is from RNAcentral.